RNAcentral lists this ribosomal RNA (253 nucleotides) under uncultured bacterium. RNAcentral describes it as "partial 16S ribosomal RNA". It matches the Rfam family "Bacterial small subunit ribosomal RNA", at positions 524 to 776 of the family's 1533-position model. The record is from RNAcentral.
GACGUAGGGCGCGAGCGUUGUCCGGAAUCAUUGGGCGUAAAGCGCGUGUAGGCGGCCCGGUAAGUCCGCUGUGAAAGUCCAGGGCUCAACCCUGGGAUGCCGGUGGAUACUGUCGGGCUCGAGUCCGGAAGAGGCGAGUGGAAUUCCUGGUGUAGCGGUGAAAUGCGCAGAUAUCAGGAGGAACACCAAUGGCGAAGGCAGCUCGCUGGGACGUGACUGACGCUGAGACGCGAAAGCGUGGGGAGCAAACAGG